This 79-nucleotide small RNA is filed under the name Salmonella enterica subsp. enterica serovar Typhimurium. RNAcentral's name for it is "Hfq binding sRNA". It matches the Rfam family "STnc490 Hfq binding RNA", at positions 1 to 79 of the family's 124-position model. The record is from RNAcentral. Lineage: Bacteria; Pseudomonadati; Pseudomonadota; Gammaproteobacteria; Enterobacterales; Enterobacteriaceae.
AACCCCCAGCUAGGCUGGGGGUUCCGGAAAGGUUUCAGCUUUAAGCCAGUUAUUAAAACCCCUUUUGAUUUGUUAAAAC